CAUAUACUCCCUCCGUUCGGAAUUACUUGUCACUAAAAUGGAUAAAAACAGAUGUAUCUGCAACUAAAAUACAUCCAGAUACAUUCAUUUCUUGGACGAGUAAUUCCGAAUGGGGGGAGUACUUA
Molecule: non-coding RNA, 125 nt
Organism: Triticum aestivum (bread wheat)
Lineage: Eukaryota; Viridiplantae; Streptophyta; Magnoliopsida; Poales; Poaceae
Source: Rfam